CGUAGGGGGCGAGCGUUGUCCGGAUUUAUUGGGCGUAAAGCGCGCGCAGGCGGCUCGGUAAGUCGGAUGUGAAAACCCGGGGCUCAACCCCGGGCCGUCAUUCGAUACUGCCGAGCUCGAGGCAGGUAGGGGAGAUUGGAAUUCCCGGUGUAGCGGUGAAAUGCGCAGAUAUCGGGAGGAACACCGGUGGCGAAGGCGGAUCUCUGGGCCUGUCCUGACGCUCAGGCGCGAAAGCUGGGGUAGCGAACAGGAUUAGAUACCCUGGUAGUCCCAGCCGUAAACGUUGGGUGCUAGGUGUGGGGAGCAUCAACCCUCUCCGCGCCGACGCUAACGCAUUAAGCACCCCGCCUGGGGAGUACGGCCGCAAGGCUA
Molecule: ribosomal RNA, 372 nt
Filed under: uncultured organism
Description: bacterial SSU rRNA
Rfam family: Bacterial small subunit ribosomal RNA
Source: RNAcentral